GCCUGAGUGGCUCAGUCGGUUGAGUGUCUGACUUCGGCUCAGGUCAUGAUCUCGCAGUUCGUGGGUUCGAGCCCCACGUCAGGCU
Molecule: transfer RNA, 85 nt
Filed under: Felis catus (domestic cat)
Lineage: Eukaryota; Metazoa; Chordata; Mammalia; Carnivora; Felidae
Also listed under: 1 other name
Description: tRNA-Arg (TCG) (tRNA-Arg-TCG-18-1)
Rfam family: tRNA
About the family: Transfer RNA (tRNA) molecules are approximately 80 nucleotides in length. Their secondary structure includes four short double-helical elements and three loops (D, anti-codon, and T loops). Further hydrogen bonds mediate the characteristic L-shaped molecular structure. tRNAs have two regions of fundamental functional importance: the anti-codon, which is responsible for specific mRNA codon recognition, and the 3' end, to which the tRNAs corresponding amino acid is attached (by aminoacyl-tRNA synthetases). tRNAs cope with the degeneracy of the genetic code in two manners: having more than one tRNA (with a specific anti-codon) for a particular amino acid; and 'wobble' base-pairing, i.e. permitting non-standard base-pairing at the 3rd anti-codon position.
Source: Rfam by way of RNAcentral